Molecule: long non-coding RNA, 608 nt
Filed under: Pan troglodytes (chimpanzee)
Lineage: Eukaryota; Metazoa; Chordata; Mammalia; Primates; Hominidae
Description: lincRNA
Source: RNAcentral
AACUGCUCUUAGGAUGAAAUGACUGGAGCCCAGAUACCUUAUUUAGCAAUCAGUGCCCGGCACAAGGACUUGCUGUGCCAACGAAAAGGAAGCGAGGCAUUUUGGCUAGUCACAGCGUUUUUGCUGUGUCACAGGGAGACAGAAGAUGGGCUGCUAUUUCAUCGGCUAAAUGCUAUCAUUUUAAGCACCGUUCCAAAGAAAACAGGGAUCUUGCCAGAGGAAAAUAACAUAUACCAUAAAGGAAAAAGAAAUGUGCAUCAAGGCAAAUAAACAGCUUUGUACUAAGGGCCUAGGAUCUUGCUAGACGAGUCAUUUCUCUGGUUGAAAAGCAGUUGAGAAAGGCAAGACAAGGGGGGUGGGGGCCAAGCAGGGCACCUCUGAGCCCUUCCUGCUGCUCUUCAAAGACAGACGCAUUUUCCUUUCUAUGGUCUCCUUGCAAGUCUGCUGUAGGCCCUGCCACCUUCAGGCUGACUGACUGCCUCCUUCAAAUAUCAGCAUUUGAUGGAUGUGCUGGAAGGAGACCCCUGCUGACCCCUGCUGACUCCAUGACAGAGGGAUGGAAAUUCUGCCCCUCGCAGACCUCACCCUAUGCGUUCUGUUUCCUUUAU